UACGUAGGGCGCAAGCGUUGUCCGGAAUUAUUGGGCGUAAAGAGCUCGUAGGCGGCUUGUCACGUCGAUUGUGAAAGCCCGAGGCUUAACCUCGGGUCUGCAGUCGAUACGGGCUAGCUAGAGUGUGGUAGGGGAGAUCGGAAUUCCUGGUGUAGCGGUGAAAUGCGCAGAUAUCAGGAGGAACACCGGUGGCGAAGGCGGAUCUCUGGGCCAUUACUGACGCUGAGGAGCGAAAGCGUGGGGAGCAAACAGG
RNAcentral lists this ribosomal RNA (253 nucleotides) under uncultured bacterium. Its description in RNAcentral is "partial 16S ribosomal RNA". It matches the Rfam family "Bacterial small subunit ribosomal RNA", at positions 524 to 776 of the family's 1533-position model. The record is from RNAcentral.